CCUCUCCUAAUCCACAGAGGCAAGAUAAACAGCACCUCUAGAUAUUAAGAAGAGUAAAGCAAGUUAUGGGGACCCAGAGGCUAGAGAAGAAUUAUACGAGCUACUGACGAUGCCAAAGAAUUUUGGAAAAUUUUGGAAUUUUCAGGUCAGAAGAAGGAAUGAGUUUCCAUACGAUGUGCUGCUUGGACACUAGAAGUUAUCCUUGUACAGGAACUCUGAGGCGAUUUGAAGGACACAUGCCCCUGCUGAGCCCUUGCUGCUCAGAGAUAAAAUCCCCACAGGUUAUUUAUGCAUAACAUUGCUUCCUGUUUGCAUCAAACAGUCUUGCUUUGGACACUUCCUGAAACUUUAUUAAAAAUUGACUUUUCGAUGUGGCUCUGAGACUGAUCCUCUCAGGAAUGAGUGGUUAGAUGGUCAUUUAAUUUGAAAAGCCUUCAGAAAUUUACAAAGCUAUAAUUUGAUUCUCUUUGAAUGAAAACAAAAGUGUAACGUGAGCUUCGUUGGAUACCAUGACUCAAAUUUGGGCUGAAUACAUCCAUGGGUACUUUCUGAACCCAUUCAACUCCCACUAUCCCUUGUAUUAGAACUUAGUGCACUAAACCAUUUCUUUGAAAACUAGGCAAAAAUGUACCCCAUGUGACUCAGUAUAUGUUCAUUUCACGUCUACUUUCAUUCUUCUUUGUUCACUGGGAAGAAUCACAAAAGAGAUGAGUCAACAGUAAAUGCAGGAGUGUGAAUCUGUGCCCAUUAUCCUCAAGCAUCCAUAGAAACACUUGUAGCUUAGAACUCUUAUCAAAAGGCCUUUUGUUAUUUCAAGGGCAGCGCUAACAUGCACAGUGACUAUAUGUUUUUGAAUGCUUCAAAGAAUCUUUUCUAUUCUCCAGUAAGAAUACAGCUGCCUUAGCAAUUGUAACACCACUUCAUGUAUAAAAUGCUCUCCAAGUGAGUCCACACCAUUAUAUUUAUGUUAAAAUGGUCAACCUUUACAAUAGUACUUUGUAUCAGAGUGAUUACACAUGGCUCUAGAAAGUGAAUUCUUGUUACUUUGUCUUACUGCCAUAAAAAGAACACAGUUCAAUAAAUAGUCCAGUAGGUUUAAGGACAAGUUACAUUGUUAAACUCUUUUGAGGAUGUAGAGAUGUGGAGGCUGGAAAAUGAAUUGUAAAGGCCUUACCCAUGCCUGAGCACAGGGGGGUGGGGUGCUCUUACGGAAAAUGCUGAAGGACAGAGUGGGAGAAAAUUGAAGAAAAAGACACAAUUGGGGAGAAUUUAAUAAGCAGGAGUGAGCUAUAAAUAAAAGUGUUGUUAAUCCUUGCUUUUCGCAGCUCUGCUCUGCCUUGAAGCCCUGGCCUCACCAACUGGUGUGGUCUGGAAAAGUCUUGUCCUUUGAAGUCACUUACUGAGUAGGCUGGGGUACAUUUCUUCAGAGUACAUAGUUAAUUCUGGCUCUGAGCUCCACUGUGAGCUCCUGAGCCCUUGUUAGGGUCUAGUCUCUUUUCUGAGGGUAUGAUCAUGUUCCCCAAAUUCUCAGUUAUAGUCUGGGCUCCAUAACCAAUGGGGCAGCCUCCUGGAACUCCCAUGUUUCUUCCUGCUUGGUUUCUGAAUGUGCUUCUGGCAAGAGACUUUCCUCCUGUAGCCCAACUGCCAGGCCUAGAGCCCCUCAGGAAUUGGCACUGGCAUAUCAUCCAUAGGUUGUCAACUUUCUUGGGCACAGAUGUGGAUGGUAGGCUUACCAUCCUAGCAGUAGGGCCAGUCUAGCUACUUCAUUUGUCCCUUAGCUAUCAUCCCACUUUGAGUUCUCUUUUCAUUCCUUAACCGGCCGUGAAGAAGUGUCUUUCAAAUUAUCCUCACUUCUAUAGGUAGUUAUGCUGGAGUGAGAGUUGCCUUUUUGCCUUUCAGAGUUCCACCAUACAUUUGACAAAUGGUUUCUAUAUAUCCCUAGUCUCCCAUUGCUUUUGAUCCAAGGCCUCAUUAUAUGGAAAAAAAUGGAAGGCUGAUGUCUAUCAGGUUCAUAGUUCUUAUGAACCCAUCUUCCAAAGGAAUCUGGCCUCAGAGAACUAUCAAGCUUACUGACAUCUUAAAACACCAUAUGGAAGAUACUCUCUCUCAGAGUUAGUGUUUGUCCUGCCUGCUAUUGCAUAUACUAUGAAUCAGUGAAUAGGACAUAACACUAUUCUUCUAGUGACAGAAGACACAGGUUUGUGUACAAGGGAUGUAAGUUGAAGUGGUUCCUUACAUGAAGCUCCUAAUGAUAUACCACCUACACCUAGGUUUCAUCUAAUCUCUGUAACUCUGGGCUCACUUGACUUAGAGAUUUCAGAUCCUAAGAGACCUAUGUGUCCAUCAGAAACACAAGGGUAUUUCCACCAAAUUGAAAACUGAGACUAUCACCUGCCUAUCUGGGCUCUUUUUUUUUUUUUUUCAUGGUUUUUUCCCCCAGUUUUAUUGAGUUAUAAUUAACAUAUAAUAUUAUGUAAGUUUAAGGUGUACAAUGUAAUGAUUUGAUAUAUAUACAUAUAUAUGUUGUAAAAUGAUUACCACAAUAAAGUUAAUUAACACCUUUACCACCUCACAUAGCUACUAUUUAUGUGUGUGUGUGUGUGUGUGUGUGUGUGGUGAGAACUUUUAAGAUUUAGCCUUUUAGCAACUCUGGUCACCAUACUUUACAUUAAAUCCCAAGAACUUACUUCUUUUAUAAUUGGAAGUCGGUACCCUUUGGCCACUUUCACCCAUAUCCCCCUCACGUCCACCCCUGGCAACGAUCAACAUACUCUCUGUUUCUGUGAGUUCAGUUUUUUAGAUUCCACAUGUAAGUGAGAGCCUACACUAUUUGUUUUUCUUUGCCUGACAUAUUUCGCUUAGCAUAAUGUUCUCAAGGUUCACCCAUGUCCAUGGAUGAAUAAUAUUCCUGUGUGUGUGUGUGUGUGUGUGUGUGUGUGUGUGUGUAUCACAUUUUCUUUAUCCGUUCAUUUGUCAACAGAUACUUAGAUUGUUUCCAUGUCUCAGAUCUUGUAAACAAUGUUUUAAUAAACAUAAGUGCAGAUAUUUCCUCAAGUAGUGAUUUCAUUUCUUUUGGUUAUAUACCCAGAACUGGGAUUGCAAGAUAAUAUGGUAGUUCUAUUUUUAAUUUUUUAGGGACCGCCAUACUGUUUUCCACAGUGACCACCCAAUUUACAUUCACCAAGGUGCAAAAAGUUUCCCUUUUCUCUACAUUCACCCCAACACUUGUUUUCUCUUGUCUUUUUUUGAGAAGAGCUAAUCUAACAGGUGUGAGGUGAUAUCUC
Neofelis nebulosa (Clouded leopard) is the source of this 3284-nucleotide long non-coding RNA. RefSeq lists it as uncharacterized. The transcript has 4 exons. NCBI's taxonomy places the organism in Eukaryota, Metazoa, Chordata, Mammalia, Carnivora, Felidae. The record is from RefSeq and is a predicted model, not a curated record.